UGGUGCUAUCCAUGACACCUGGGAUACUACCCCAAAAAUUUUCGCCAUAGUUUCAGUAUAUGCUUCCAGAUUCGAAGAAGUCAAAGCGUUACUGAUUGCCCUUUCCACUUUUUUCCACCUUUGUUUGGGACACUACCAUAAAAUCCCAAUCACUUUUCGAUCGUUGUAGUCUAUUGUUGCUGUGUAAGAUGGGCCAUGGAACCUCCAAAGAUGAACCUCAGGAAGACUCAUCGGAUUCCUCUGCUUCCACAACUUCCAGAAUUCAAAGACUCCGGCAGCGCCUCCACCGCCACCGUCUCCAUUUUCGCCGCCUCCACCGUGGCUCCGGUUCUGGCUCCCAGUUAAGCAAACUACUCAAGGAGGAAGACUUCGCCGGCAUCGCCCUCCUCCGCCUCAUCGGCGCGGAGAUGAGAUUCAAGGACAAAUGGCUUGCAUGUGUUUCUGUCGGCGAGCAGACCUUCCGAACUGCCAUCUCCGAUCAAACUGACCAGCCUGUCUGGAACUCUGUGAAAAAUCACUACAUCACUCUACAGGAGAAAAAGCUUCUUUUGGAGAGAAAUGGGGCACGUGUUGCAAGAAUAUCUGUAUUUGAGACUAACAGAUUGUCAAAGAACAAUCUUAUUGGUUACUGUGAGAUUGAUUUGUAUGAUUUCCUUACUCGGGAUUCAGAUUCUGACAUAGAUGCAUACGACUUAAUAGAUCCAACUUCUGCCGGAGGAAUUGUUGGCAAAAUAAGGUUGUCAUGUUCCAUUGAGGACCCAAUGGAAACAGAAAAGAGUUUUGUCCGGCGCAUUUUGUCUGUUGUGGAUUAUGAUGAAAGUGGAAAUCUUUCAUAUGCUGAAUUCUCUGACCUAAUUGAUGCAUUUGGCAAUCAACUGGCUGCUACAAAGAAAGAGGAGCUUUUCAAAGCAGCUGAUGAGAAUGGGGAUGGAGUUGUCAGCAUAGAUGAGUUGGCUAUGCUUUUAGCUGUUCAACAAGAAAAGGAUCCUCUUAUCAAUUGUUGUCCUGUCUGCGGAGAAAUUCUUCAAAUCUCGGACAGGUUGAAUGCUAUGAUUCAUCUGACCCUAUGUUUUGAUGAAGGAACUGGAAAUCAGGUUAUGGCUGGAGGAUUCUUGACUGACAAGCAGGCUUCGAAUGGAUGGAUGUUCAAAGUAAGUGAAUGGGCUCAUUUUUCAUCCUAUGAAGUUGGAUUGAGGUCUGGAUCAAGUGCUUCACAUAUCCUGGUUUUUGAUAGACGAACAAAAAGAUUAGUGGAGGAAACAAUUGAUGCCAAGAUUGUGUUAUCUAUGAGAGCGUUAUAUCAAUCUAAAGUAGGGCUUGGCCUCAUGGACAAAGGGGCAAAGGAACUCUUGCAGAGCAUCUCCGAAAAGCAGGGCAGGAAAAUGGAUUCACCCGAAUCUGCUAAGGAUAUUGAAAAAUUUAUUUGUUUGUUUAAGGAUCAAAUAAAUUUGUCUGAAAUCAAAUAUCCUUUGGAGCACUUUAAGACAUUCAAUGAAUUCUUUAUAAGAGAGUUAAAACCUGGUGCAAGGCCAAUCACCAAUGCUGAACGUGAUGAUGUUGCGGUAUCUGCUGCUGAUAGUCGGUUGAUGGCAUUUGAAACUGCUGAAGAUUCUAUGAGAUUUUGGAUUAAGGGACGGAAAUUUUCUGUGCAAGGUCUUUUAGGAACUGAAGUGUGCUCUGAUGCCUUCAGUGAUGGAACUCUAGUGAUAUUCCGCUUAGCACCACAGGACUAUCAUCAUUUCCAUUUUCCUGUUUCUGGAACUAUUGAGAAAUUUGUGGAAAUACCUGGAUGCUUAUACACGGUUAACCCAAUUGCAGUGAAUAGCAAGUACUGUAAUGUGUUCACUGAGAAUAAGCGUGUUGUAUCUACAAUAUCAACCAAAGAAUUUGGAAAGGUAGCUUUUGUUGCUAUUGGAGCAACCAUGGUUGGUAGCAUUAAUUUCACCAAAAAAGAGGGUGACUAUGUCAAGAAAGGAGACGAGUUUGGAUAUUUUUCCUUUGGCGGAAGUACAGUCAUUUGUGUCUUUGAGAAGGAUACUAUCAAGAUAGACAACGACCUCCUGGAGAACAGUUCGAGACACCUUGAGACGUUGGUCUCUGUGGGAAUGCAAUUGGGUCUGUCCAUUAAAAAAACCCUUGGCUAGAGAGAGGUCGCUUAAGGCGAAACCUUGCAUUAUAUGGGCCUGAAAGGGGUCGGUUUGCAAAUUUUGCAGGAGAUCCAAUACCAAAUAUUCAAAUUGGAGUUUUUGCUGAGUGGGCAUCUAUUUUUUGGAGAAAGACAUCCUGUUGCUUGAGGAGAAGAUCUAGUUAAUGCAAGUUUAUAGCCGAAAAUUCCUCCUACAAUUAAGUGCAAGAAACGAAGGCAAGUUUCUAGACAAUUAUAACCUAGUAUUUUGACAUCUCUUUGCAUGAUCCGGUUUGAUACAACUCAAUUGCAUAUCAAGUUUGGCCACCAGUAACUGUUUUCUAUGCUGUAUUAUUUCUGUAAGUAGCUUAAUGUGUAGUCGUGUAACCUCCUUUGUUGUAUGGAUAUGAACCCGAGUUUGCCUUGUGUAAAGCUGCUGGUCCCUGCA
Molecule: RNA transcript, 2573 nt
Organism: Salvia miltiorrhiza (redroot sage)
Lineage: Eukaryota; Viridiplantae; Streptophyta; Magnoliopsida; Lamiales; Lamiaceae
Gene name: phosphatidylserine decarboxylase proenzyme 3-like
Exons: 22
Source: RefSeq, a predicted model, not a curated record